This 263-nucleotide ribosomal RNA is filed under the name uncultured bacterium. Its description in RNAcentral is "partial 16S ribosomal RNA". It matches the Rfam family "Bacterial small subunit ribosomal RNA", at positions 793 to 1055 of the family's 1533-position model. The record is from RNAcentral.
GUCCACGCCCUAAACGAUGUCGACUAGUUGUUCGGGAAGGUGACUUCUUGAGUAACGUAGCUAACGCGUGAAGUCGACCGCCUGGGGAGUACGGUCGCAAGAUUAAAACUCAAAGGAAUUGACGGGGACCCGCACAAGCGGUGGAUGAUGUGGAUUAAUUCGAUGCAACGCGAAAACCUUACCUACCCUUGACAUGUCUGGAAGUCUGCAGAGAUGCGGAUGUGCCUUCGGGAACCAGAACACAGGUGCUGCAUGGCUGUCGU